Molecule: long non-coding RNA, 201 nt
Organism: Solanum tuberosum (potato)
Lineage: Eukaryota; Viridiplantae; Streptophyta; Magnoliopsida; Solanales; Solanaceae
Exons: 2
Source: RefSeq, a predicted model, not a curated record
GGUUAAUCUGUUUGAUUAAGAAAUUUUGCUUAGCUUUCUCUACUUAAUCUCCUUUGUAUUCUUUUUGUUACUAAUGGGAAUAAACUUCUUAUUUUGGUUGACUUCCAUCAAAAUUUGCAGGUCCAUUGGAAUUUGAUAAGUCCAAAAAAGUGAUUGAAGUGCCUCGAGUUUCCCAAAGAAGUCCGUUUGAAUCUAGAAAGG